RNAcentral lists this unclassified non-coding RNA (199 nucleotides) under uncultured Crepidotus. RNAcentral describes it as "sequence contains ITS2". The record is from RNAcentral. Lineage: Eukaryota; Fungi; Basidiomycota; Agaricomycetes; Agaricales; Crepidotaceae.
AAUUCUCAACCUCCACCGGCUUUGCUGCUUGGUGUUGGCUUGGAUGUGGGGGAUUUCUGCAGGCUCUUCACAGAGUCAGCUCCCCUGAAAUGCAUUAGCGGUGACCUUGAUGGCCAUUGGUGUGAUAACUAUCUACGCCAUUGGAUGUCGCGCUGUUCGCUGCUCCUAACGGUCCAUUUGCUUGGACAAUUUAUGACAA